GUCCCCAUCGUCUAGAGGCCUAGGACAUCGCCCUUUCACGGCGAGAACAGGGGUUCGACUCCCCUUGGGGACGCCA
RNAcentral lists this transfer RNA (76 nucleotides) under Gammaproteobacteria bacterium. Its description in RNAcentral is "tRNA-Glu". It matches the Rfam family "tRNA". From Rfam's summary of the family: Transfer RNA (tRNA) molecules are approximately 80 nucleotides in length. Their secondary structure includes four short double-helical elements and three loops (D, anti-codon, and T loops). Further hydrogen bonds mediate the characteristic L-shaped molecular structure. tRNAs have two regions of fundamental functional importance: the anti-codon, which is responsible for specific mRNA codon recognition, and the 3' end, to which the tRNAs corresponding amino acid is attached (by aminoacyl-tRNA synthetases). tRNAs cope with the degeneracy of the genetic code in two manners: having more than one tRNA (with a specific anti-codon) for a particular amino acid; and 'wobble' base-pairing, i.e. permitting non-standard base-pairing at the 3rd anti-codon position. Lineage: Bacteria; Pseudomonadati; Pseudomonadota; Gammaproteobacteria. The record is from RNAcentral. RNAcentral also lists the same sequence under 3 other names.